This 253-nucleotide ribosomal RNA is filed under the name uncultured bacterium. RNAcentral's name for it is "partial 16S ribosomal RNA". It matches the Rfam family "Bacterial small subunit ribosomal RNA", at positions 524 to 776 of the family's 1533-position model. The record is from RNAcentral.
UACGAAGGGGGCGAGCGUUGUUCGGAAUCACUGGGCGUAAAGGGUGCGUAGGCGGCGACAAAAGUUAGAAGUGAAAGCCCAGGGCUCAACCUUGGAAUUGCUUUUAAAACUAUGUUGCUAGAAUCUCGGAGAGGAUAGCGGAAUUGUCAGUGUAGCAGUAAAAUGCGUAGAUAUUGACAGGAACACCAGUGGCGUAAGCGGCUAUCUGGACGAGUAUUGACGCUGAGGCACGAAAGCGUGGGGAUCAAACAGG